GAGCAAAAACUUCAUCUAUUUGUAAGGUUAAAAACUAGCGUGUCUGAUGAAAUAACCUGCAGUGACACGUGAAGUGUCAUAUGUACCUCAUGCUGAUAAAGAGGGAUCAGUUUUUUAAGGGUAGUAGUUGGAUGAAAUUUUUAAUA
Molecule: microRNA precursor, 146 nt
Filed under: Gossypium hirsutum (cotton)
Lineage: Eukaryota; Viridiplantae; Streptophyta; Magnoliopsida; Malvales; Malvaceae
Description: MIR7502 microRNA precursor family
Rfam family: MIR7502 microRNA precursor family
Source: Rfam by way of RNAcentral